CCUGGCGGCAGGCCUCAUACAUGCAAGUCGAACGAGAAAGUAUCUUCGGAUACGAGUACAGUGGCGGACGGGUGAGUAACACAUAGGAAUCUACCCAAUGGAGGGGGAUAGCUCGAGGAAACUCGAAUUAAUACCGCAUAAUCUCCACGGAGUAAAGAGGGCUUCGGCUCUUGCCAUUGGAUGAGCCUAUGCAGGAUUAGCUUGUUGGUGAGGUAAAAGCUCACCAAGGCAACGAUCCUUAGCUGGUUUGAGAGGAUGACCAGCCACAUCGGGAC
This 275-nucleotide ribosomal RNA is filed under the name uncultured Gammaproteobacteria bacterium. Its description in RNAcentral is "partial 16S ribosomal RNA". It matches the Rfam family "Bacterial small subunit ribosomal RNA", at positions 36 to 319 of the family's 1533-position model. The record is from RNAcentral. Lineage: Bacteria; Pseudomonadati; Pseudomonadota; Gammaproteobacteria.